RNAcentral lists this ribosomal RNA (254 nucleotides) under uncultured bacterium. RNAcentral describes it as "partial 16S ribosomal RNA". It matches the Rfam family "Bacterial small subunit ribosomal RNA", at positions 524 to 776 of the family's 1533-position model. The record is from RNAcentral.
UACGGGGGGAGCAAGCGUUGUUCGGAUUUACUGGGCGUAAAGGGCGCGUAGGCGGUCGUGACAAGUCACUUGUGAAAUCUCCGGGCUUAACUCGGAACGGUCAAGUGAUACUGUCGGACUAGAGUACAGAAGGGGCAACUGGAAUUCUCGGUGCAGCGGCGAAAUGCGUAGAUAUCGAGAGGAACACCUGCGGCGAAGGCGGGUUGCUGGGCUGAUACUGACGCUGAGGCGCGAAAGCCAGGGGAGCGAACGGG